RNAcentral lists this ribosomal RNA (460 nucleotides) under uncultured bacterium. RNAcentral describes it as "bacterial SSU rRNA". It matches the Rfam family "Bacterial small subunit ribosomal RNA", at positions 330 to 801 of the family's 1533-position model. The record is from RNAcentral.
UGCGAACUCCUACGGGAGGCAGCAGUGGGGAAUAUUGCACAAUGGGCGCAAGCCUGAUGCAGCGACGCCGCGUGAGGGAUGACGGCCUUCGGGUUGUAAACCUCUGUUAGCAGGGAAGAAGAGAAAUUGACGGUACCUGCAGAGAAAGCGCCGGCUAACUACGUGCCAGCAGCCGCGGUAAUACGUAGGGCGCGAGCGUUGUCCGGAAUUAUUGGGCGUAAAGAGCUUGUAGGCGGUUUGUCGCGUCUGCUGUGAAAGGCCGGGGCUUAACUCCGUGUAUUGCAGUGGGUACGGGCAGACUAGAGUGCAGUAGGGGAGACUGGAACUCCUGGUGUAGCGGUGGAAUGCGCAGAUAUCAGGAAGAACACCGAUGGCGAAGGCAGGUCUCUGGGCUGUAACUGACGCUGAGAAGCGAAAGCAUGGGGAGCGAACAGGAUUAGAUACCCUAGUAGUCCAGAUG